This 423-nucleotide ribosomal RNA is filed under the name uncultured Lachnospiraceae bacterium. RNAcentral describes it as "bacterial SSU rRNA". It matches the Rfam family "Bacterial small subunit ribosomal RNA", at positions 355 to 794 of the family's 1533-position model. The record is from RNAcentral. Lineage: Bacteria; Bacillati; Bacillota; Clostridia; Lachnospirales; Lachnospiraceae.
UGGGGAAUAUUGCACAAUGGGGGAAACCCGUGAUGCAGCAACGCCGCGUGAGUGAAGAAGUAUUUCGGUAUGUAAAGCUCUAUCAGCAGGGAAGAAAAUGACGGUACCUGACUAAGAAGCCCCGGCUAACUACGUGCCAGCAGCCGCGGUAAUACGUAGGGGGCAAGCGUUAUCCGGAUUUACUGGGUGUAAAGGGAGCGUAGACGGCAGCGCAAGUCUGAAGUGAAAGCCCGGGGCUCAACCCCGGAAUGGCUUUGGAAACUGCGCGGCUAGAGUACCGGAGGGGUAAGCGGAAUUCCUAGUGUAGCGGUGAAAUGCGUAGAUAUUAGGAGGAACACCAGUGGCGAAGGCGGCUUACUGGACGGUAACUGACGUUGAGGCUCGAAAGCGUGGGGAGCAAACAGGAUUAGAUACCCUGGUAGU